Molecule: non-coding RNA, 1165 nt
Organism: Leptonychotes weddellii (Weddell seal)
Lineage: Eukaryota; Metazoa; Chordata; Mammalia; Carnivora; Phocidae
Source: RefSeq, a predicted model, not a curated record
GGCGCGGGGCGAUUUCCUUCCGCGUCGGAGCGCGCGGGCCGCGCCCCCGCACCCGAGCGCAGCCCCGGAAAGCGGCCGGAGGGGACCUUUCGGCCCCGGUGUCAGUCCCUCCCGGAGUGGCUGUGACAGCAGCGGCAGCAACAGCUUCGACGCAGUGGGUGAUGUCUCAUCUCGCCCCUGUACCCUCUAGUGACCCAGUCUAAAAGCUUCCUGCCACUCAAAAGACUACACCUCCGACGGUGCUAGAGACAGCUCGUUCUUUCUCCGAAGUCAGUCCUGUCCUUGGAGAAGGCAGCGGGGCCGGAGAGGGACAGUGCAGCGUCUUCGCUGCAGCCCUGGUCUCCUGAGCUGCCAGCCCAAGGUGGAGGACCCUGUGGCCAUUUCAUCCCUACCCUACUCUCAAAUAAAGUCCCACAUUGUGACCUCUAAAGAUCAAGUUGCUUUUCUGAUUACUCAUGACUUUCAUCUCUCUACGCUUCAGGGGAUUUCCUUUUUUCACAAAUGGCUUUUCCUGAAGCCUUAAGUCCUAUUUCCAUUGUUUUGAUUGAUUCUUCCUGCACAAAACAUGUUGUUUGUGCCAGUGACCACAAGAGGACACAAUUUCCUAGAGAACUUUGUUUUAAAAGAAACGUACAGAAGAAGACAACUGACAAAAUAGCAAAAAUACUGCACAAUCUGUGACUGUCAUUUUGGUUACAUUCCUAAUCACAUUUUCUGAGACCCUGCUGGAGGAACUGAGCAGUGGACCAAAAGAGCUGGAAAGAGAAGAGAAAAAGACAAGAAAGAAAGAACAGAGUAAGAAUAAGGAGGAGAUCAAGAGAGAAAAGAAUGUGGAAAGAGUGAAAGAGAGAAUGGAACAACUGAUCAAGACUGACAGAAAAAGAAUGAGGCUUAAUAUGUAGGGGUCAAUGAUAAAAGGCUUAAAUCACAAGAUACAGAAAGAAGUGCGCUUAGUGGGAAGCAGAAAAGCACCAAGAUUAUUUGCCUCAGUUUCUGCUCAAAGAGACUGUUGUAAGUAGCUACCUGUCCCUUAGUGUAGGCAUUUGAUUUUAAAAAUCCCUGUCAUUCUCACUGAAGUCAUAACAAGAAGUAAGGAACUGGGUGGAGGGCCAUGAAACUUUUAAUUGAGGUUAAUGUUCAUCUAAUAGAUAUGAUCUAUCCAGAA